CCGCUGUUAACCCCGGGGUCUAGAGAAGCACUGAGAGGACUCCUCAGCCUGAUCUCCUGCCCUGGGAGAAGCCAGCUGCCAUAUCAUGAGAACGUGUAAGCAUCCUUGAGGAGCGGUCCAUGUGCUUUCCAGUGACUGCAGCCCUGGCCAACCUCUUGAUGGCCUCCUCAUGAGAGCUGAUGAGCCAGGACCACCCAGUGAAGCCAUUCCUGGAUUCGUGUCCUGCAGACACGGAGAAUCUCUGCAUCAUGCUUUUAUGAAAUUAGAUAUGAGAUUGAAAUUGACAAACUAAAGAAAAUAUGGUAAUAAAUAUUGUUUU
RNAcentral lists this long non-coding RNA (319 nucleotides) under Homo sapiens (human). Its description in RNAcentral is "HSALNT0356719". Lineage: Eukaryota; Metazoa; Chordata; Mammalia; Primates; Hominidae. The record is from RNAcentral.